Molecule: ribosomal RNA, 382 nt
Filed under: Enterobacter sp. AC19
Lineage: Bacteria; Pseudomonadati; Pseudomonadota; Gammaproteobacteria; Enterobacterales; Enterobacteriaceae
Description: bacterial SSU rRNA
Rfam family: Bacterial small subunit ribosomal RNA
Source: RNAcentral
CCUACUCUUGACAUCCAGAGAACUUUCCAGAGAUGGAUUGGUGCCUUCGGGAACUCUGAGACAGGUGCUGCAUGGCUGUCGUCAGCUCGUGUUGUGAAAUGUUGGGUUAAGUCCCGCAACGAGCGCAACCCUUAUCCUUUGUUGCCAGCGGUCCGGCCGGGAACUCAAAGGAGACUGCCAGUGAUAAACUGGAGGAAGGUGGGGAUGACGUCAAGUCAUCAUGGCCCUUACGAGUAGGGCUACACACGUGCUACAAUGGCGCAUACAAAGAGAAGCGACCUCGCGAGAGCAAGCGGACCUCAUAAAGUGCGUCGUAGUCCGGAUUGGAGUCUGCAACUCGACUCCAUGAAGUCGGAAUCGCUAGUAAUCGUAGAUCAGAAUG